RNAcentral lists this long non-coding RNA (772 nucleotides) under Parus major (Great Tit). RNAcentral's name for it is "lncRNA (ENSPMJG00000003548.1)". The record is from RNAcentral. Lineage: Eukaryota; Metazoa; Chordata; Aves; Passeriformes; Paridae.
GGGGUCCCGGUGCCGGUACCGAGGCUGGGACAGUCCCAGUGUGAAGUGUGGCGGGGUCCCGGUGCCGGUGCCGGUACCAAUGGCAGCGGGACCCUGGUGCCGGUGGGUUGCCGGAGCUGGUUCCCGGUGCCGAUCCCGGUGCCGAUCCCGGUGCGUUCGCAGCGCGAGGAGCAGCAGCGGAAGGAGCAGGAGCGGCAGCGGGAGCGGGAGCAGCGGCGGCGCUGGGAGAGGGAGCGCAUGGAGGAGGAGCGGCUGCAGGCGGCGGAGCGGGAGCGGCGGCUGCAGGAACGGGAGAGGCUCAUCGAGGAGCGGCGGUGAGGGGCAAGGCUGGGCUCCAGCCCUGUCCCAUCCCCAUAUCCCAUCCGUGUCCCAUCCCAUCGCUGUCACCCCUCCCGCAGGCAGGAGCAGGCGCGGCUGGACGCGGAGGAGCGGAGGAAGGAGCAGGAGCGAUGGGAGCAGCAGCAGCGGGAGCAGGAGGCGGCCGAACGGGAGCGCGGGGGUCGCACCGGGCUCAGCGGCACUGCGGCCGAAGCCGCAAUCCUGGUCUCCCAGCGCACCCAGAACCCCCGGGAAUUCUUUCGGCAGCGGGAACGCUCGGGCUCCACGUCCGCAUCCCCCCUGCCCGGCAGCACCCCCGGUGGGUGGCAUGGAAGGGUUGGGGGGCACGGGGGGGUUCUGGGGGUCCCUGCUGACCCCACCCCGACCCCGCCAGGUGCUCGCCGGCCUUUCCUGCGGUACCAGCGCAGCCUGACGGAAUCCGCCUUCAUCUUCC